Molecule: long non-coding RNA, 1286 nt
Organism: Cyprinus carpio carpio
Lineage: Eukaryota; Metazoa; Chordata; Actinopteri; Cypriniformes; Cyprinidae
Source: Ensembl
CAGUUUAAACCAAUUUUGACUUCUGAAUUUCAGCAAAAUAGAGCACCGAUCAAGUCUACUUAUAAAGCUUAAUUCAGGAUAGCAUGCUAGUAUAUUGUUUUAACUUACGAGUAAGAAUAAUGGCUAUAUGCAAUUCUGAAUUCAUCCUGGGUAAGCCAUUUUAACAGGCCUGACAUAGCAACAUUGGCUCAGCCAAUGACGUGGGUUUAGGGUGGGACUAUCAUUUUGUUUGACCAAUAGCAGAUAAGAGAAUCUUUCGGGAAACCUGUUUAAAAGUUACAUUUUUACCAUGCAGUUCAUUUUGGUGCUAUAAUGGAGAAGACAUUAUACACUUCAACUUUUUGUUUUUACUAUAAUAUUUUUUUAACAACAACAUAGCAUGAUCAUGGGCCUUGAUUUUUAUUAUUUUAUUCAUGCUUGUGUUGUGAGUUUAUGUCGUGUCACCAACAGGAUCUCAGAGUGUCUGUGAUAAAACUGAUCACAACAUUAUUAAGUCUCAUCCACCACAACCAGCACAGGGAUGGCAACCAAUGACCCUUGCUAUAGGGGCUGAUGUGAAUCCUGCCAAACAUGCAUGAAAGACAUACAAAACUGAGACAGGGAAUGAAGAGAUGGGCCUGUCCGCUGCUGUUCCACUCCCAGCCUGGGAGGGCACUGUGGCACCAUCAAAACACUACAGGGACACAUGAAAGGUCUCCUGCGGGCACAGAUGAUGCUCAGUCGCCAAGCAACCAAGAAGCGGCAAGCUCAGCAGAGGGUGCUUUAGGAAAAGUCGAGGGAAACAGAAGAGGGUGUACACCUCUUAUCUGGAAGGAGGACAGAGGGUUUGUCUUGUGUCCAGGCCAAUGCAACAAAACAUCUUCUGUGAUGAGUCUGAAGGACAGAUUCUGGAUGUAAGGGAGCUGUUGCAGCCAAGUCCACAGGUGACAGACCCAAACAUGGGAGAUACAAUGAGUGGCAAACCACUAAUGAAAAAUGGAAUUAAAAGACCAGAAAUGUAGAGGUCUGGGGAAGGAAUGUUGUCAUAAGAAUUCCCUGAAUUCUCCAAGGAGCAGAACAAAUCUGGACAAAGGUGUGACAGGAACUUUGCAAAGGAAUUGCAAUGCAAACAUGUUACUUUGGCAUAGUGAAAACGAGUAUAGACAUUACUCUGGUUCCUUCAUGAAAAUAGAUCUACAGGAAGAAUGGGAAAUUACCAAGAGGCCUUUACAGCCAGACUCCGAAAAGCACAGUUAGUCUGAGAUUACAUGAAGGAAUUUUUCAAUCUAAUUUGUAAUGCAUCUGUG